AAGGUUAUUUAAACUCAAUAAAAAAAAUGUAUAAUGAAGCUUUAUUAGGUUUAGAACCUAUGUUACCAUCUAUUGAUAACAAAAUAACAAAAGAUGAUAUUAUUAGUAUAGCUAGUUUAAUAUAUAAAGAAAAAAGAAAAGUAUAUAAAAAUGAAAUAGAUCAAAUGUUAAAAACAGAUGAAAAUUUUAAUGUUGAUGAAGUCUUUUCAAAUCCUAUUUCUUUUGAAAAAUUAACCAAAUCAACUGAACAUAUAGAAGAAAAAAUAAUUGAUGAAAAUAAAACAAUUGUACCAGAUGUAUUUACUUUUAAAUAUCUACUUAAUUAUUAUUCAAAUGAUCUUGAUUUUUUACAAAAAAAAAAAUAUUUAGAAUCAAAACAUGGAGAAAAAAUGGUUAAAAUAUUAAAAGUUAAAAAAAAAAAAAAAAAAAAAAAAACAACAACAACAAACAAAGAAUUGAGUAGUAGUAGCAAUAUUAGUUCAAAAAGUACACUAAGUCGGUGUUCAAUAGCUGAUAGUACAACUUCUAAAACAAAAAUUAAUUUUUCUAUUAAUGAUCAAAUAGAUAAUAAAAUUGUUGACAAAAAUGAUGAUAUUGUUUAUGGAGCUACAAAUGUAAAUAUAGGACUCAAACCAAAAUUUAAUUUAAAUGAAGAUAUGACAGAUAAUAUGACAAAAAAUGUUACAAAUAAUAUGACCGUUAAUGUGAUUGAUAAUAUUUUGGAAAAAAACAAUACUAACAAAACAAAUAUAACAACUCUUGAUAUUAAGAGUGAAGAAAAUAAAUCAAAUAUUCUAUACGAUGAUAAAACAAAUUUGAAAAUAAAUAAUAAUGAAGAGUUAGGAAAUAUUAAUAUAAAAAAUGUUAAUAAUUUAAAUAAUAAAAUAGAAAAUAAUGAACAAGAUAAUAAAAUAAAAUAUAACAACAAAAAAGAAAGUUAUAACAAAAAAGAUGAUAAAAAAAUAAACAAUUUAAACGAUAUAAAAAUUAAUAAUGAAAAAAUUAAUCAACAAAUAGAUGAAGAUAAAGUAAGAGAAAAUAUAACCAACAUACUGACUGAACAAAUAAAUGUAAAAGUCCAAAAUAAUGACAAUGUUAAGGAUAAAGUAGUACAAAAUGAUCAAACAAGCGAGUUAAUGGGAGAACCCACAGCAAAAGAACCAGAAGUAAAAGAACCAGAAACUGUAGUGCCAGAAGUAAAAGAACCAGAAGCAGUA
Molecule: long non-coding RNA, 1217 nt
Organism: Piliocolobus tephrosceles (Ugandan red Colobus)
Lineage: Eukaryota; Metazoa; Chordata; Mammalia; Primates; Cercopithecidae
Source: Ensembl